RNAcentral lists this ribosomal RNA (500 nucleotides) under uncultured Glomeromycotina. RNAcentral's name for it is "partial small subunit ribosomal RNA". It matches the Rfam family "Eukaryotic small subunit ribosomal RNA", at positions 591 to 1092 of the family's 1831-position model. The record is from RNAcentral. Lineage: Eukaryota; Fungi; Glomeromycota.
CCAAUAGCGUAUAUUAAAGUUGUUGCAGUUAAAAAGCUCGUAGUUGAACCUUAGGCCCGUGCGGGCGGUCCGUCCUCUGGGCGAGCACUGCUCCGUCGCGGGUCUCACCUUCUGGCGAGCGUGGAUGCCAUUUAUUUGGUGUCCGCGGGAACCAGGACCUUUACCUUGAAAAAAUUAGAGUGCUCAAAGCGGGCUCCGACGCUUGAAUACCUUAGCAUGGAAUAAUGAAAUAGGACGAUGGUUCUAUUUUGUUGGUUUCCGGGACCGUCGUAAUGAUUAAUAGGGAUAGUUGGGGGCAUUCGUAUUCAAUUGUCAGAGGUGAAAUUCUUGGAUUUAUUGAAGACGAACUACUGCGAAAGCAUUUGCCAAGGAUGUUUUCAUUAAUCAAGAACGAAAGUUGGGGGAUCGAAGACGAUCAGAUACCGUCGUAGUCUCAACCAUAAACUAUGCCGACUGGGAAUCGGGCGAUGUUACUUUUCUGACUCGCUCGGCGCCCCGAG